GACGAACGCUGGCGGCGUGCCUAAUACAUGCAAGUCGAGCGAAGUUUUUCUGGUGCUUGCACUAGAAAAACUUAGCGGCGAACGGGUGAGUAACACGUAAAGAACCUGCCUCAUAGACUGGGACAACUAUUGGAAACGAUAGCUAAUACCGGAUAACAGCAUUAACUGCAUGGUUGAUGUUUAAAAGUUGGUUAUGCUAACACUAUGAGAUGGCUUUGCGGUGCAUUAGCUAGUUGGUGGGGUAAAGGCCUACCAAGGCGACGAUGCAUAGCCGACCUGAGAGGGUGAUCGGCCACACUGGGACUGAGACACGGCCCAGACUCCUACGGGAGGCAGUAUUAGGGAAUCUUCCGCAAUGGGCGAAAGCCUGACGGACCAACGCCGCGUGAGUGAAGAAGGAUUUCGGUUCGAAAAGCUCUGUUGUUAGGCAAGAAUGAUUGUGUAAUAACUAUACACAGUUCAGACGGGACCUAACCAGACAGCCACGGAUAAAUACGUGGCAGUUCCCGCGGGAAUAUGUAGCUGGCACUCGCCUGUUGGAUUAGUGCGCCUAAAGGACACCCGAUGUGGUUUAAUCCCUCCGAUAUGAAAGCCACCCCUCUCAAACUUGGAGUGGUUAUUGGAAACUGCCAACUUUGAGCGGAAGACGCACCAUUGGAAUGGGCGCGGUAUUUUCCCGGAUAUGUACAGAUCCGCGCCUAACCUUUUACGGAGGGGGCCUAUAACUCUUGCUGAAUUGACGUGUUUUAUG
This 751-nucleotide ribosomal RNA is filed under the name uncultured Prevotella sp. RNAcentral describes it as "bacterial SSU rRNA". The stretch from base 11 to 528 matches the Rfam family "Bacterial small subunit ribosomal RNA", at positions 38 to 536 of the family's 1533-position model. Lineage: Bacteria; Pseudomonadati; Bacteroidota; Bacteroidia; Bacteroidales; Prevotellaceae. The record is from RNAcentral.